This 261-nucleotide ribosomal RNA is filed under the name uncultured bacterium. RNAcentral describes it as "partial 16S ribosomal RNA". It matches the Rfam family "Bacterial small subunit ribosomal RNA", at positions 793 to 1055 of the family's 1533-position model. The record is from RNAcentral.
GUCCACGCCGUAAACGAUGUCAACUAGCCGUUGGAAGCCUUGAGCUUUUAGUGGCGCAGCUAACGCAUUAAGUUGACCGCCUGGGGAGUACGGCCGCAAGGUUAAACUCAAAUGAAUUGACGGGGCCCGCACAAGCGGUGGAGCAUGUGGUUUAAUUCGAAGCAACGCGAAGAACCUUACCAGGCCUUGACAUCCAAUGAACUUUCUAGAGAUAGAUUGGUGCCUUCGGGAACAUUGAGACAGGUGCUGCAUGGCUGUCGU